This 403-nucleotide ribosomal RNA is filed under the name uncultured prokaryote. Its description in RNAcentral is "bacterial SSU rRNA". It matches the Rfam family "Bacterial small subunit ribosomal RNA", at positions 355 to 776 of the family's 1533-position model. RNAcentral also lists the same sequence under 1 other name. The record is from RNAcentral.
UGGGGGAUAUUGCACAAUGGGCGAAAGCCUGAUGCAGCGACGCCGCGUGAGGGAAGACGGUCUUCGGAUUGUAAACCUCUGUCUUUGGGGAAGAAAAUGACGGUACCCAAAGAGGAAGCUCCGGCUAACUACGUGCCAGCAGCCGCGGUAAUACGUAGGGAGCAAGCGUUGUCCGGAAUUACUGGGUGUAAAGGGAGCGUAGGCGGGAUCGUAAGUUGGAUGUUUAAUCUACCGGCUCAACUGGUAGCUGCAUCCAAAACUACGAUUCUUGAGUGAAGUAGAGGCAGGCGGAAUUCCUAGUGUAGCGGUGAAAUGCGUAGAUAUUAGGAGGAACACCAGUGGCGAAGGCGGCCUGCUGGGCUUUAACUGACGCUGAGGCUCGAAAGCGUGGGGAGCAAACAGG